This 33524-nucleotide long non-coding RNA is filed under the name Capsicum annuum. RNAcentral's name for it is "long non-coding RNA (CANN_LNC012899)". The record is from RNAcentral. Lineage: Eukaryota; Viridiplantae; Streptophyta; Magnoliopsida; Solanales; Solanaceae.
AUACACGUACUUUUGAAUAAAAUUUAAUUAAAAAAAAUAAACAUCAUUAAAUUAGUUAAGUCAAAUUAAUUUGGGAAUUAGAUUAAUUCACUUAUCCGUUUGAAGAAAUUUCUUUAAAUAAUUUGCAUUCCUUAAAACAUAACUUAAACCAGCCCCAUACCACCCCAACCCGACAACCAAACCCCAUUUUUAGCCCAAUUACCCACAAACAUUGUCCAAGUCUCUAACCUAGUCUUGUACUUACACUCUAAAUCUUUUUCACCAUUAUCUCUCUUCCCAACAAAUGCUGAACAUGAGCUAUAACCUAAACACCUCUACUACCAACUCUGUUAGUAUCCAUAUCCAUCUCUAAGAUUUCAUAGAUCCACAAUAGUUGACUUUGAUUCACCAAUUGCGCGUUUUCUCCUGAAAAUCUUAUCCUUGUCCGGAGCAAUCAAAAUCAAAUCUGGAUUCUUUGAGAUAUGUCUUUAUCUUACUGAAAUUCUUCUAAUCAAUUCUGACUUCACUCUCAAACAACUAGUUUUUGAGUUCAAGCCAUUUUUUUCAGCUAUAAAUGCAUAGCGUUUGUUGCAAUUUUGGAAAAGAAGAAAAAAAAAGUGGGAAUCCCUCUCCUAUUGCCAUCUGUGAAACUCGUAAAAUCUUAGCCAUAGAUUUUAGAUUCAAAAAUCGUUUCUACAACCUUAAAUUGAGAGCUUGAUAUUCUUAGUUUAUUUUGCUAAAGUUUAUCAUCCGCUUCCUUUAAAAAUCUAUUCGGAGGUAGUUGAUAGAGGAGUUCAAGACUCAAAGCCCUAGUUUGUUGCCCCACACAAGGUAAACUCUAUCCCAUCUUGCUUGUGUUGUACUUAGUUUUGUUAAUCAUUUAUCAUGUGGUUAGUCGAGAUGAUAGCCGACUGGCUCAAAGUAUAAAAAUUUGAAUGAAAUAAAUUUUACGGGUUUGAGAUCAUGUGUAUUUGCAACUUGUGAUAUUACUUGAGUAUAUUUUAUCCCGUCUAGUUAAAUUAUGUCUAAUUUUGAUGAUUUAUUGAUCGACUGAGUUUAUCAUUCUCGUGUGGAUAAUCAUGAACAUAAAAUGUGAAAUGAAAAUAAUUUUCUGGUCUUUUUGAUUGUCCAUAUUUGAUUGAGUGUUUGUGAAAUAUUUACGAUUUGUGAUUUAGCUCGAACCAGCUCUAUGAGGUAUGAGGGCAUAUGUGUGGUUAGCUGCCCAUUAUAAGAUUAUAGCUAUGUUGAUUUGGAUGUUCUGGCCUUAGUAAUAGCUACUUAUUUUUUCUCUCCUUGGCUAUGCUUUUACAAUGCAUUAGCAACCAUAAAACUAGUAUCCCGUCUUGUUUUGUUCUUACUCGUCCAGCCUUGCUUGUCACUAUAAGCAACUGCUUGUGUGUAAACAUGUGGAAUAUGUGAUUCAUAUCUGACAUGGAUUUAAUUAGUGGAAAAAUAAUAUAAAACAUAGCACCAAAAAUAGAAUUUGAUUUGCUCAUUAUUUCAUACUCACAAAUUAACUGUUCGAUGAAUUUUUGAUAAAUCUGUUAGCUUGUGUAUAGUCCGACCGACCUAUCAUUUUAAAAUCAGAAGCUAAUCCCUCCCUCUUACGCAUUCUUGAUCCUCUUGAAAUGUAGUCAUUACUUAAUCGCCUUUAGAUUUAGUAAAACUUCUUUCUUCCCUUGUUUUUACCAUUUAUAAUAUAUAGACGUGUUUAUAUGUACUGGUUGGUUGAACUUUAUUGAUCGAAGUUCGCUAAGACGCUAGUUUGGUUCAUCUGAGUUUUCAAAUGAAUAUAACUAACUCUUUAAGGGUAGUUUGAUGUUAGUUUUGGAUGAUUUGAACAUGGAAUUAAUGGCUUAACCAUCUCUUUGUUUGGUUGUUGUGUUCGUAAGAUGCAAGCAACCUUUAACUUAGCAUGGAAGGUCUCUAAAAUGCUUAAAAACUCUACAAACGCUUAGUUGUCCGUAGUAGGAUUUCUGUGCCAUCUUUUGCUAGAAUACUAGAAUACGAAAUUAUGUUUGUACUGUUUUAGGAUAGUUGUUUACUUAAAUGUGAUUUUUAACUUUUAACUUAGUAUGAAACAAGUUGUAUAAGCCUUAAGUUUUGAAAUAAAAGUAUUUCACUGUAUAUUGAAGUUCUCUAUUUUCUUUUGUUAGCUUGAGUACUAAAAAUAAUUAGAAAAUCUUGAGAAUUCACUGCGAAGGUAGUUUUAGCUACUCUUAGUAGCUAAUUAUGUGGUUAAGCAUGUACCAACUUGUGUCCACUUAUGUCACGAUCCGAACCAGGGUCUAGUCGUGACGGGUAUCUCAAGCCCACCGUGAGUCGAAGACCAUCCCCUUAGCCUAACAUUCAGAAUACAAUAGACGAAUAUAGCGGAAGUCAAUCAAACAUGAUGAUAAAAAGAAUAGAUAAACCAAAUGAAAACUAAGAGUCAAAAAAAUAACCAACCCAUACUUGUCCACAAAAGCCUCUAGAAUCCAGAAAUACCAAAUUAGGUCGGGACAUGCCCCCGACCAUGACAAGAGAAAACACAUAAUUUCCAAAAUCUGAAAACAAAGCUAAUGAAAUGGUAGGGCUUUCCAAAAGAUGAAGGCUCACCACUUCACAGCAACUCAAUCGAUGUGCCACACCACUUAACGCUGCACAGGAAUAACAGAAAAUUCCUUGGACCCUACAUCAUGAAAUGAUGCAGUGUCUAGGGAUGGUCAGUGCAGCAACCACUGGCAUAUAACUCAGAAAAAGUAAUAAAAUAAUGCUAUUGCCAGAAAUCCAGUUAAAAUCACAUGCACAACACUUAUAUAUACAUAUAUAAGAUGUCGGGAUAGGGAAAAGGGUCAUGUACAUGAAAGUCUAAACUAUUAACCUGAACUGUUUAGCUCGCUCCAUCCUAAAGGAACCCAUGGGAUAAAUAGAUUUAGCUCCCCUGCUGAAAGGCCCCAGUGCGUGUUAACCGCAUGUACGAGGAAAGGCUAAACAUACCAAAGGGGUAGCCAUCCAAAUUAUAAAGUGCGCACCAAGCACAUGGUCACAUAGAUCCCCACGUUAGCAAACAUGGUUGCUAAUGUUGCUCCCCGUUGGGACUACACAUUCACAGUAAGCUACAUAAUUUCCUUUAAACGCAAAUUAAAAUAGUUUACAUAUAAAUCCAACUAUCAACUAAGGAGUCUUUAUUAAGGCAUUUUCCAAUAUGAUAUCGUCAUACCAAUAUGCUUGCAAGCUAAUUCAAUUAUGCCAAACCAAUCUAUAUAACCAUUUGACUCCCAAGGUUCCUUUAAUAUCCAAACCACUGCCACCAAGGGCAUUCCCAAAACUAUUUGUAUUAUCCAUUUGUCCUUUAUUGCAAUGCAAUAUUUUCAAUGUAAGUUAAACUAUGUGAGCUUCCAUAUUCAGUUUCAAGUUUACAAGGUGGGUUGAGGUUAAUGCCAAUUUCAAGCUAAAAAUCCAUCAAUUUGGGGAAACCCAUAUUCCCCAUCUUAAUCCCUAUAGUAAUGCACCCAUUCAGCCCACAAAAACCAUUAAUCAAAGCAUGAAUAACAUGUUUAAAUCAUGGGAAAACAAUUCAAGUAGAAAUCAAUUAAAAGCCCCCAACCCAAUUUCAUACCCAAUAAUUAAACCACAUGAAUGUUGAAUCAAUUUAUGCAUAAUGUAAAAUACAACUUUAGGUAUGGGAGACAUGCCUGAAAUACCAAAUAAUUGAAAGAAAUUUAAAAUUUGGAGCUUCAAUGUUAGUUUCUUGCCUUGGGAGUUAAAGAGUAAAAAUAAAUUUUUAUUUUGAUAACUGAUGGUAAAAGGGUCAUUAGAGUAUUUUUAAGUCAUGGGGAAAGUGUAAAGGGAGUAAAAGACCAAAAGGACCCUAAUUAAAAUGUAUAGGAAAAAUUAGAAACAGUCGUCACAAUUUAGGUAACGACUCGUGAGGCCUGACUAUGAGUUGUGGCCCAAAGUUGUUACUCGAGGAUCAAAAUUUUGGUACCUCACUAUUAUGAUGCUAUCUCAUCAUGACUCAUUAUCUGACAUCAUGAGUCGUGAUGAAGACUCGCGGUCAGAGGCUGGACUCCUGGGUAACCUUUUGUUAUGACAACGAGUCCUUCAUAAUGACUCAUUGUGCCUCACAACGGGUCGUACCCUGGACUCAUUAUCAAGGGACCAAAACCUGGGCUUUCUUGCUGCCAAUACAACAAGUCCUCAUCAUAACUUGUUAUGUCUCAUAAUGAUUUGUACCUUGGACUGUUGUCACUGGAAGUUUUUUUUACAUUAUUUCAGAAACUUGGCAAUUCAAUUACUAAACUCUUGGAGGGUCUAAAGCUUGAAAACUUGGGGUGUCACAUUACCCCCACCCCACCCCUCCCUCAGUAUUAUGAGUUAAGACACCCUUAGCAUGAUAAUAUGAAGAAUGCAAACAGAACCCAAGACAAAUUAAAAAGGGAAAUGAAACUCAUACCUCAAGCACUUUCAUCCAACACAGGGAACAAGAACGGGUACAUGGAUUUCAUAUCUUUCUCAACUUCCUAUGUAGCUUUUUUCACCUUUUUAUUCCUCCAAAGGACUUUCACCGAAGCUAUAUCCUUUGUCCUCAAUCUAUGAACUCGCAUAUCCAAUAUCUCAAUCGGUACUUCCUCAUAAUACAAUGAAUUCAUAACACCAACAUCCUCAACAAGAACUAUUGGAAUAUAGGAUGAAUCAAAGAUAAACUUGCUGAUAAAUCCAACUCAUAAAUGACAUUCCCAAUCUUUCUUACAAUAUGAUAUGGACCAACGUAAUGGGGACUAAGUUUCCCUUCUUCCCAAACCUCAUAACUCCUUUCAUGGAAAAAACGGUCAAAGAUACCCAAUCACUAAACUCAAACUCUAACUCCCUCUGCCUCACAUCUGCAUAAGACUUUUGGAGACUCUGAGCAGUCUUAAGUCUUUCUCUAAUCACUUUCACCUUAUCCAUGGCUUGGUGAACCAAGUCAGGACCAAACAACCUAGUCUCACCCACCUCGAACCACCCAAUAGGAGACCUAUACCUUCUUCCAUAAAGAGCCUCAAAAAGAGCCAUUUAAAUGCUAGAAUGGUAGCUAUUGUUAUAAGAAAACUCAAUAAGAGGCUAAUGAUCAACCCAACUACCUUUAAAAUCAAUCAAACAUGACCUUAGUAUAUUCUCUAAAGUCUGAAUAGUCCAUUCCGCUUGUCCAUCCAUUUGAGGGUGGAAAGCGGUACUAAGGUUCACCUAAGUACCCAAGUCCUUCUGAAAAGAAUGCCAAAAAUGAGAAGAAAAUUGCGUACCUCGAUCAUAAAUAUUAGACACCGGGGAUCCAGGCAGCCGAAAUACCUUCUGAAUGAAUAGCCUUGCAUAAUCUUCUCUUGAGUAAUUAGUCCCCACAGGCAAGAAGUGAGCAGACUUAGUCAUUCUAGCCAUAAUGACCCAAAUAGAAUCAUACUGAUUGUGAGACCACGUAAAACCCGUAAUAAAAUCCAUAUUAAUCAUCUACCACUUCCAUAUGGGUAACUCUAUCUCUUGGGACAAGCCACCAGGCCUCAAAUGUUUAAUCUUGACUAGAUGGCAAACCAUACACUUACCAACAAAAUUCAUCACAUCCUUCUUCAUAUUAUUCCACCAACAGAUUUCCUUCAAGUCAUGAUAAUGGCGUUAGAUUUUCAAUGCAAAGACCACAGAUGCUAACUCUAGAUCGUGAGUUAGGCAAUUCCUCUCGCGAACCUUAAGCUGCCUGGAAGCAUAGGCCACAACCUUACCAUGCUGUAUCAAAACACAAUCCAAUCCCACACGGGACGCAUCAUAGUACACAAUGAUCCCAUCAAUACCCUCGGGCAGGGUAAAACCAGGCACAGAAGUCAACUUAUCUUUCAAUUUCUCAAAACUACCCACACAAGCAUCAGAUGAUAAAAACUUAAAUCUUUUUCUGAGUUAACUUCGACAGUGGUUCAACAAUAGAUGAAAAACUCUUCACAAACCUCCUAUAGUAGCUUGCCAACCUAAGAAACUCCUAUUGUCGGUUGGAGUCAUAGGUCUACGCCAUUUCUUAACUGCCUCAACUUUCUGUGGAUCCACCUUGAUCCCUUCACUAGAAAGCAUAUGCCCAAGAAAAGUUAUAAUACUUAGCCAAAAUUCACACUUAGAAAAAUUUUCAUACAAUUUUGGUUCCUUCAGAGUUUGCAGCACAAUUUAGAGGUGGUUGGCAUGAUUCUCUUUAUUCUUAGAGUACACCAAGAUGUCUUUAAUGAAGACUAUAGAAAACAAAUCCAAAAACUGCCUGAACACCCGAUUCAUAAGAUCCAUGAAAGCAACCGGAGUAUUAGUCAACCCAAAUGACAUAACUAGAAACUUAUAGUAGUCGUACCGGUUAAAAAAAAAAUAGUCUUGGGAAUAUCAACCUCCUUAAUUUUCAAUUAGUGGUAUCCCGAACAAAGAUCAAUCUUAGAGAAGCACCUAGCUCCAUGAUGUUGAUCGAAAAGAUCAUCAAUCCUAGGAAUGGGAUACUUAUUUUUCACUGUAACCUUAUUCAGCUACCGAUAGUCUAUAUACAUUUGAAGAAACCCAUCCUUCUUUCGCGUGAAAAGCAUAGGAGCACCCCACGGUGAAACACUAGGAUAGAUGAAACCCUUAUCAAGAAGAUCUUUUAAUUGCUCUUUUAGCUCAUUUAACUCAGCAGGAGCAAUUCUAUCAGGAGGAAUAGAAAUAGGAUGGGUAUUUAAUAGACUAUUAUUCCUGAAAUCUAUUUCCCUAUUGGAGGAACUCCAGAAGGAUCAUUGGGAAAAACUUUAGGAAACUCAUUAACCACAGGAACAGAUUGGAAAGAGGAAUUCUCAGAGUUAGAAUCCUCAACUCGAACUAAAUGAUACAAACAACCUUGAGAAAUUAAUUUCUGAGCUCUAAGAUAAAAAAUAAACCUUUCAUUGAGCACUAAGGAACUCCCCUCCCAUUCUAUCACCGGUUCAUUAGGAAAAUGGAAAUUGACCUUUUGGGUCCUACAAUAUAGAGAAACAUAACAAGAAUAAAGCCAAUACAUCCUCAAGAUUACAUCAAAAUCUAUCAUAUUAAGUUUUAUUAAAUCCAUCAAUGUCUCUUUAUGAUGAACGAACACCACAUAACCCCUAUAGAUUUUUCUAGCAACAAUGGAAUCAUCCACCAAAGUAGAUACAAAAAAAGGAGUCAGAAAUAUUUUCAGGACCAAAACCAAAAUGUACAACCAUAUAACGGGUCAUAAAAGAUAGGUUAGAACUUCAAUCUAGCAAACCAUGCUAUAUCUCUCAACAUACCACUCCACCAAUAAUACUGCCUUAAAUCCCUAUACAUCUUAGUUGCUGAGCCUCAUAAAGAAUCAACUGAAUCAAAUCUUAAACACAUGGAACACAAAUAUGACCGUCAAACCUCAGAACAUUCUCAGAAUCUAAGGUAGCCCUCCUAGACUCACCUUUUCACACCUACCCUCAAAUGCUACUAAGCCUACUAUCUUUAUUCUGACGACCCCAAAUCUACUCAAACAAAGUAGGUUUGGCCUCAACACAAGCAAUGAUCCUUCGAGGGUCAGAAAUAUCUAAAUGAACCAUUAAGUUAGCUUAGGAAUAGAUGCCCAAAGCCAAUGGCCGCUAAGAAACUGAAAUGAAGGCUAAGUUAUCCAUACUCACUGACUUCCAGCUCAAGGCGUCCACUACCAUAUUCGUCUUGCCCAAAUGGAAGAGAAUAGAGAUAUCAUAGUCCUUCAGCAACUCAAUGUAUCUACGCUGCCUCAAAUUAAGCUCCUUCUGGGUCAUAAUAUAUUGAAGAUUAUAGUGAUCAGUAAAGAUCUCACAGUGAACCCUAUACAAAUAAUGCCUUCAAAUCCUAAGCACAACCAUUGUCACUGCCAACUCUAAGUCAUGAAUGCGGUGAUUGCGAUUAUGCACCUUUUACUACCUUGGUGCAUAUAUAAUAACACAAACCUUCUACACUAGAAUAUACCCCAGACCAACACUAGACGCAUUAUAGUAAAACUCUCGCCCUCAAUUGGAAGAGUCAAAAUAGGAGAUAAAGUAAGCAAAUCCUUGAGCUUCGGAAAGAUCGCCUCACAACUCCCAGUCCAUAGGAACGGAACCUCCUUCCUAGUCAAUAUAGUCAUAGGGAAUGCAAUAGAAUAAAAAUCCUCAACGAAUCCCCUAUAGUAAUCUUCCAGCCCAACAAAACAACGAACCUCAGUAGGUAACGUAGGCCUAUACCCAACUACGAAUAGCCUCAAUCUUUGUUGGGUCCACUAUAAUACCUUUCUAGGACACUACGUGCCUCAAGAAUGCUAGUGACUUAAGCCAAAACUUGCACUUGGAGAACUUGGCUUAAAGAUGAUGAUCUCUUAAAGUGUGGAGCAUAGUCCUCAAAUAUUGCUCAUUCUUCAAGCUAAUCCUCGAAUAUAUUAGAAUGUCAUCAAUAAAUACUAUCAUGAAAGAAUCCAAAUAUGGCCUAAACAUGUGGUUCAUUAGAUCCAUAAAAUCUGUUGGGGCAUUAGUCAACCCAAAAGACAUCACCAGAAACUCAUAAUGACCGUAACGAGUCCUGAAGGCUAUCUCAGGGAUGUUUGCAACCCUAAAUCUCAAACUGAUGGGAACGAAACCUCAAAUAUUUGUUAGAAAAUACUGUUGUACCCUAAAGUUGUUCAAAUAAAUCAUUGAUAUAAGGCAUUAGAUACUUAUUAUUCAUAGUCACCUUAUUUAACUACCCGUAGUCGAUACACAAAUGCAUAGAGCUACCUUUCUUCUUCACAAAUAGAAUUGAUGCACCCCAUGACGAUACACUCGAUUUGAUUAAACUCUAACCUAGAAGAUCUUAAAGCUAACUAUUCAACUCUAUAAGAGCCAUACAAUAUGGAGCUAUAGAAAUUGGUCGGGUGCCUGUCUCGAGGUAAAUAAUAAACUUUAUAUCACACAAAGAAGAAAGGUCAGGUAGGUCGAUCUGAAAUACAUCAGGAUACUCAUAAACAACAGGGAUAGAGUCAAGAAAUAGACUCUCAACGCUAACAUCCCGAACAUAUGCAAGGGAUGACUUACGAACCCUCGAUAUCAGUCUCCUAGCCUUAUUAUAAGAAAUAAUCCCCGUCGAUGUAUGCUUAACAAAACCCUGCCACACAAUUUGGGGUACGCCGAGCAAGGCUAAGAUUAUUAGCAAAACAAUUAAGGAUCGCAUGGUAAGGAGAUAACCAAUCCAUGCCUAGAAUCACAUCAAAAUCUACCAUAUCUAGGAUAAUGAGAUCAAUCUGAGUAUCAAACUCCCGAAAAGUAACCAAACAACAUUAUAUACUCGAUCCACUACUAAAGAAUCACCCAUAGGGGUAGCUAUACACAAUGGCACAGAUAAGGAAUCUGAACAUAAACCCAGCCGCAAUGCAAAAUAAGCAAAAACAUAUGAAAAUGUGGAACAAGGAUCAAACAAAGCAGAAGUUGGCUAGUGGCAUAAGAAAAUCGUACCUAUGAUCACAGUAUCUCAAGCCUCUACCUCUGUUCUACUAGGUAUAACAUACAAAUAACCCUGUCUACUAGUGAACUAGUGAACUGGGUGUCUGUUUGAGCACCUAUCCUACCUCCUUGCGGACCAUCUCUAGAACCCUAGGGACUAACCCUACAACCUUAUGCACCACCCUGGACGAUAGUAGCACUGAUUUGAGUGACUGUGUAGUCUAAACCAAAUGAUCUAUCAUCCCAUGUUUGGGACACUCACGGGAGAAAUGACUAAUAACCUAUAGUCAUAACAUGCCCCAGGCACCCUACUUUGUCUAAAAGGUCUAGCAGAUCCAAUACGACCACCCUGACUCGAUGAUCCUGAUUGAAUACCCUUCUGCGGAUAACUGCUGCUCUGACUACUGGAACUACUAUAACUGAGCUAACCCUUGUCUAAUAUCUAAAGCGAUGCCUAAACUGGCCGGCUAGGCUGACCCUGAUUCUGAGAAGGCUAUUGCUAAGAAGUACCUAUUAUAAACCCCUUGGACUGUGAACUAUGAAUCCGUGGCUCCCAUUGUAACUGCCUUGGUAAUGAGGUCUCUUAUCGCUGUCCCCUUAGGCCUCACAAUCCAUAUCCUUUUUAAAUAAACAUGCUCAGCAAUAUUAGAAAAAGACUUCCCUUAAGUCACCAAACUCUGUGUAGUCCUACAAAUCGAUAAUCUCUAUACCCUAAUAAAGCAUCAAAUCAGCUCGUACUCUGUAGGCAGAAUCAUACUGGAGUUCCUAGGUAAGUCAUGACAUCUCACCUCAUACUCAACCACAUACAUGGAACCCUAUACCAAAGCAAAAAGAUCUUCUUAAAGACACUUAUGCAUACUGUGAGGCAUGUACUUCCUCAUAAAAGCCUCAGAGAACUGACUCAUGUCACUGUUGGAGAUCCAGCUAGCCAAUAAUCAAGAUAAACUCUCCACCACCUCCUUAUUAUCAUGUUUAGUUGAUAAGCAACAAAUUCCACUCCCCACGACUCAACUAACCCAAAUUUUGUAACCCCUCAUUGCAAUUAGAUAGUAACUCAUAAGUAUUCUCUUUGGGGGUCCUGAUAAACAUGGGUGAAGUCAAUCUAAAAAAUUAUCCUAGCAUUUUCUCCUUCUCUGAAGACAUAAGUGGCUAGGGUACUACCACUUAUAGGACUACUAGUGUUUGCAGAACCUCUACCUUAGGCACCACUGUGGGUUGUGCCCCUAAGUCAACACUAUCCUGUAUUAUUGGUUGAGCUCCCUCAGUUAGAUACCACCAACUAACCCCAACAAAUAUACCAAUACAUCUUGAAGAACCAAAGAAGAUAUAAAUCGAGAUGGAUCCUGGGCUGCCCUUAGCCCACCUGCCGGUGUGGUGGAAAAAUACAUGGAGCUCUCCCAAUCUCAGGAGCUAUGACAAGAUAAGAUGAUGGAUUCCUGGACUAAUUUCUAACUGGACUACUGUCCUAUCUUGCCCUCGACCACUGGGUUGACCUUGACCCCUAAUAGGAACUCUAGCAGGGGCCUCAGGAUCUUGAUCCCCGACUCCCACACCACGCAUCCUAUCCAUCUGCGUAAAGACUGAACUAAUAUAUAUUAAAACUAACUUAGACCCAACCCACACAAAUGGAUCAAGAAAGUGAGAUUUUUCCUUAGAAAGACUUUGUUGCCUCCUAAAGAUAGGAUACAGACGUCUCUAUACCAAUCCACAAGACUCAACUAAACAUCAUCUCUAGUACCAACAAUACCAGGAAAACUCGAGCUCUAAUACAAAGCUUUCACGACUCAAUUUCUCAAGUCGUGAUGGCACAACCUUAUCCCACCAAUAGGCAAGCUAAGCCAUAGCCCGAGAUGAUAGGUAAUGGGCUAAUAGUCAAAAACUAGAGAGGACUAGAUAGAAAUGAUCACAGUAGUAAAAGUAUGUGAAAAAUAGAAAGGAAAAAUAUAUAAUUUAUCAAAUGAGAGAAGAAACGGGACCAAAUAUACAAAUGAAUUUCCUUCCAAGACCUCGUAAGGUCGAUACUAGAGCCAUUACUAAAAGAUACCUAGAGUACUAGAAAAAAUUCAAAAUAUAGAAAAUAUAUACAAGCAGUAUCAAGUACAAAAAACUAAACUAGAACAGAUAAAGGAGGAUCAACCUUGGAAGAUAGCAAGCUCACCCUGCUCUGGAUUAGUACUAAAAGAUAGGAAUCACGUCAACAUUGGCUUCUAGUAAUCAGUUCUACAUCAGGAAAAAAAUGUAAAAGUAUAGUAUGAGUACUAUAGCAAUGGGUACUCAGUAGGCAUCAUUGUUCGACUGAGCUUAAUCUAGGAAAAGUAUAACUAAAAUGACAGGGUAUAGUCUAAGUCAACAGUAAACAAGGAUAGAACGGUAAACAACUAUCAAGCUACACAAAUGCAAUAAAGGAAUAGUAAAAGCAAUACAAAAAUAUAAAUACCGUUAUAAUAAAAGCAAACAAAACAUAACCUAACUAGGUCCCCAUAAGCCUGCCAGGCACACCAAAAAAGACAAUUAACCCAACCUUGCCUCUAUAAGCUAGUGGGACACAAAAAAAGUAAUUAAUAAAUGAAUGUAAAUAAUUUGUAACUGACCUAAUCCUAAAAUUAAAUCAUAGUAGUCAUCCAGAUCUACACCGAGCUUGAACCGGCACCAAUGGGUAGUAAGAAGAGGCUAGACGCCAGGCUCGAACCAGUAGUGAUGGACAAUAAUAAGAGGCUAUAUGCCAGAUUCAAACCUAAAAUAGUGGGCGAUAACGAGAGGCCACAUACAUGACAUACAACAGAACUCUUAAUCAGAUGUUGGACUCUAACUAGCACAUAGAGGAACCACAACUAUCAGAACAACAGUAAUUAGUACCAGAAUUUCCAAAUCAUCAUAACCAAAUGCCGGACUCGAACCGACACUCAUAGUAACCAUAAUCAACUAUAAAAUUAAAACCAAAAUCAUACCGUAGCUGAUGCUAAUUGAUGCCAGAUUUUACAAUAAAUGACAAAAAUAAAGUACAUGUUGACCCUAAACCGUAAUUAAAAUACAUUUAAAUAAUCAUUCAUGUAACUUAAUUUAAAAGAAAAGAAUCCAAGGUUUUGCAACUUAAUACCUAGUCCUAAGCUCAUAAAUACUACAUCAUACUAAAAGAUAACGUCAAAAUUUACUAGAACAGGGCCCUAACCUAAUAAAUAAGGCAUGAUAUAUUUAACAAAUGAUAUGAAAACUACAACUAUCUGCCCAAAACUAGCAUAAUAGCACACAAUUACUGUAAAUAAAUUUUAUAUAAAGAUAGGAUAAGCCUAGCCUACCUGGAGCCCAAAGCUAAAAUGUUUCUCCGAGAAGCCUCCGAAUAGUGCCCCACUAGAACUCGAGCUUGAAUAACUUAAUUUCUUUUUGUAAAUUAAAUACAAUAAGUAAACUUUUUCCCAUAAAACUUAUGCCGAUAUGCGUAUGGGUAUAAAAUGUAACAAUGCAAGUAUGUUGGUAUUUGAUAAUAGUGUAAACAUUUUAAUAUUACAUUAAUCGUGAGGAUCAUUACAGAAAAAGAGUCACCCCACCACUUGUAGGGUGACUAAAUGAGCCGUCAUCAGUAAAGAAGAGAAAUAGACAACGGAUGGAGAGAAGAUUGACUUGUCAUUACUCAAAUGACCAUGAGAGUCACCCACACUAAUCUUCCUGUGGGAGAAGCAUCUAAAUCGAACUAUUACCUAAUCAUUUAGUUAAUACUAAGAUGAUACUGUCAUAAAAAUCAACUUAACAAUAAUAAAUCCAAAUCUAAUCAUUAUUAAUUCGGAAAAUCAAGCAAACUACUCAUUAAAAUCCCCAAAAUCAUGCCUAAAAGAGAUAUCCAAAAUAAAAAAAAUUAAGAAUGUCUCAUUGUCUGUAAGAUGGACACGAACUAAUAUGAUGAUCCAUGGAAGCCUGGAGAUGGAGUGCUUACCCUUGGAUCGAGAAAGCUAUCAAAUGCUAUCGAUGAGGCUGUGUUUAAGCCUUUGGAACACUUUCUGCACUCAACAAAAGAAUAGUACAGGAUAGUAUCAGUUCAAACCACUAUGUACUUGUAGGUAUCAUGGGCCAACUCAAUUUAAUAACAUGUAUACAACAUAAAUUCAACACAUAACAAGUGUUUAACGAAUCAUCAAAUACAUCAAUGACCCAAAAAUGCUUUACAAAUAAGCCACGUAACCAUUAAGAGUAUCAAUCAUCUCGUAAACAACUACAGAAUCAACAGUAAUACCAUAAAUAACAACUAUGUCCUUCUAAACCUCGCAAUUACCACACUAUUAUAUCGUUAUUGGCUUAUUAAACUGCAAGAACUCUCAAAAUCAACACUAAUUUAUAUACACAUGCUAAGGGACUUAUUUUUGCCUAACUAGUCAUGACCUGCAGGGAACAAGUUAAGUCCAUGUACCAUACUGGCGUGGUACCGGAUCCUCCAUAAAUAAGUUGUAUCAUAUUCACAUUUGUACCGGCGUGACACCCGAUUCUCCAUAACUAUGUUAUAUACAAUUUAUCAAAUUCACACUUUCUCUCGGAAUACAAUACGAUGUACUAAAUUUACAAGUGCACUUAAAAUUAUAAGGCAAUUCAAUUAAGUUUGAUUUUUAAUAAUUAUUCAUAUAGUUAUCAACAAUCCAAAUAUCAUCAAAUUCAAGUAUGCCAAAAGACCAAUAAAUAAGCAUCCAAUUUAGUAGCAUACACAUAACUAAAUCGAGUCUAAACUCUAAUUAAACCAUAACCUACCUCAACUGGGAGUACAAAUGCAAGCUACUUGCAAGGGACUUGUCUUUCCAUAAAGUCUCUGAAUGAUCAAAAUCUGUUCAAAUACAUAAUCUCCAUAAGACUACAAAUCUAAUAACACCCAUUUAUAAAUUCUUACUCUAAAAAUUCUAGACCUAAACCUCAACUUUUCUAACCUCCAAAAUACGAGGCAAAUCACGAAAAAGAAAAGAAAACUAAUAUACUGUACAACCCUCAUUCAUGGUAAACAUAGAAAUAUAUCUAUUUCUAUUACUAAUGACAAUGAUUAAUAAACUAGCAUUUAUUAUACAUAGUUUCUAAUAUUGCGGUCAUUCUUAUUGUUAAUAGGAAUUAUAGUAGCAAUAUUUUAACACCAAGAAAAAAGUUAAAUAUUAGUAACAAAGUCAACAUUGUCAUCAUCAUAUCAUCAUUACCCCAUGAUUUCUUGUGCCCCCAAUCUACAUACAUGGACUAAAUACUUACUCUUGUACAGUAAUUGAUGUUAAGACAUAAAUCUCCUAGCAUAAUGAAUUAGAAGCAUGAAAUUUCUCACCUGAGAUGCUCAAUGUUGAGGACAGCGCAGCAGUUUUGAACUCCCGUCUAUGUAUAUUUUUUUUACCAAUUAAAGGAUUAGCCCAUUAACUUUAAUUAAUAUUGAGUGUGGGUUAUGUGAGAAGGAAAGAGUUGCAAUUUUGAUCCAUCAUCACUAAUUAUAUUAAUUAUCUAAAAUACCUAAAACUUUUAAUAAAUUCUCAAACUCUAUUUAAAAUUCCAUAAAAAUAAAUCAAAUAUAUAAAUUGACUAAAGAGUAUGUUCCAAAACUAUUAAAAAUAUUACAAUUCUAAAUCAAGGUCAUUUUGAUCAAAAGUUGUCUGUGGUCGAACUUAACUUUCUUAAAACCUAAUAACCUAACUAAUGACUUAAAGCACUUCCAACACCUCAAGAAUUGGUACUAUCUAUCUCCGUAAGUCAUAAAUCACGUAUACAAACUAUGGAGAAAGCUAAAAUGGGAAAUACAAGUAAAAUUCACAAAACGACUAGGAGGGUCAUUACAUCAGAUACCAAUUAAACAACCGUUCGUCCCCGAAUGAUAAAAUAAUGAACAAGACGGGAAAACAAGAAAUUACCUGAAUCAUCAAAAAGAUGCAAAUACUUGCUACACAUGUUUGCUUUCAGUCUCCCAAGUGGACUCCUCAAUAGGAUGAUUCUUCCAUUAGACCUUCAUAGAUGCUAAUAUCCUUAGUCCUCAACUUAUGGACGUCUCUAUCAAGAAUAGCAAUAGUUUCCUCUUCAUAAGAGAGGGUUUCAUCUAACAAGACUGAAUUCCAAUGAAUUAAGUGGUUACUAUCACCAUGAAACUUCUUUGACAUAGAUACAUAAAACACAGGGAGAGCUCCUGAUAAACUCGGAGGCAACACCAACCUAUAGGCCACCGGUCCCACACACUGAAAAAUCUCAAAUGGCCUACUAUAUAUAGGACUAAGCUAACCUCGCUUCCCAAAAUACAUGAUACCCUUUAUGGAUGAUACCUUGAGCAACACUUGCUCAGCCUCCAUGAAGUACAUAUCUCUCACUUUCUGAUCCGCAUACUUCUUUUUCCUGCUUUGAGCCGCUACAAGUUUCUCCUGAAUGAAUCUAAGCUUUUCCAACAAGUGUCUCAAUAAAUCAGUACCCCACGGUCUUACCUCAAAGGCAUCAAACCACCCCAUGGGAGAUCUACACCUUCUCCCAUACAAAGCCUCAAACGACAUCAUAUCGAUACAACCUUAAAAAUCCAUCACACACAUACGGAGCAUAUCCUCCAAUACCUGAAUCAUUCGCUCAAACUACCCACUGGUCUGAAUAUGUAAAGCUAUACUAAGGUCCAACUUGUACCUAACUCCUCAUACAACUUCUCCUAAAAAAUAGAGGUUAAUUGAGUACCACAAUCUAAGAUAAUAGAAAUCCAGACCCUAUGCAACCAAAUAAUAUCCUUAAGAUAAAUCUUUGUCAACUUUGUUGCAUUAUAAGUCACCUAAACUAGAAUGAGAUAUGCAGACUUAGUCAAUCAAUCCAUAAUAACAUAUAUAGAAUCAUACUUCCCUAAAGUCUUGGGAAAACCAACAAUGAAAUCCAUGGCUAUCCUUUCCCAUUUAUAUUUAGGAAUGGGUAUCCUUUGAAGAGUACUACUAGGCUUAUGAUACUCAUACUUUAUUUGAUGACAACUCUAGCGUUUAGCAACAAAUUAACUAUAUAAUACUUCACUCGAUCCCACCAAUAAUGCUACCUUUUUUACUCCAGGAUGUAUACACUUUGAACAAUGAGCCUCAUCUAGAAUAGUAGGAAUUAAAUCAUUAACACGAGGAACAAAAACUCACCCUUAAUCUGUAACACCCUAUCACCAUCAAAAGCGGCCUUGUUAGCCUCACCCCACAAAACCUUAUCACGAAUCUUGUGUAACUUAGUAUCCCAAAAUUAUUUAGCCUUGAUUUGAUAAAAAAUAUGGACCUUGACUCUAUACUAGCUAAAAAUCCUCCUCUUUUAGUCACCUCGAGUUGAAUAAACUUAUUAGCUAGAUUCUGAAUCUCUCUAGCCAACGAAUGCCUGGUAGCAUUCAAGUAAGCCAAGCUACCCAUACUUGCUGACAUUCUACUUAAUGCAUCAGCUACCAUAUUAGACUUUCUCGGAUGGUAUAGAAUGGUGAUAUCAUACUCUUUAAGAAACUCCAUUCAUCUACGUUGUCUCAAAUUCAAAUCCCUCUGCGUAAGCAUAUGUUGUAAACUACGGUGAUCAGUGAACACUUCACAACGAACUCCAUACAAGUAAUCCUUCCAUAUCUUAAGAGUAAACACAACAGCUAACUCUAAGUGAUGUUUUGAAUAAUUCCUUUAUUAGGCUUCAAUUUCCUCAAAGAAUAAGCAAUCACAUUUCUUUCCCACAUCAAAAUAGAACCUCAACCAUAACGUGAGGCAUCACACUAAAUAAUAAAAUACUUACCUUCUAUAGGAAAGGCAAAAAUAGGAGAGGUAGUCAAACAGGUCUUGAACUUUUAAAAUCUCUCCUCACACUCAUCAAGCCAAAUAAAAGAUACAUCCUUUGGAUUCAGUUGCGUCAUUAAGUAGUAAUAAAAGUAAAUCCUUUCAUAAACCUGCGAUAAUAACUUGCUAACCCCACAAAGCCAUGAACCUCCAUCACUAAAGUACGCCUAGAAUAAUUCUUAACUGCUUCAAUCUUCGGAGGAUCUACCAUCAGCCCUUCUUUUGAAACCACAUGCCCCAAAAAGGAUACAAAAUCCAACCAAAAUUCAUACUUAGAAAAUAUUGCAUAAAGCUUUUUCUCUUUUAACAAAUCCAAAACAAUCCUUAAGUGAUUCUCAUGUUCCUUUUUACCCUUAGAAUAAACCAGAAUAUCAUUAAUAAAGACAAUCACAAAAAAAUACAAGUAUGGCUUAAAUAUCCCAUUCAUCAAACUCAUAAAAGCAGCUGGGGCAUUAGUCAAUCCAAAAGACAUCACAAGAAACUCAUAGUGACUAUACCUGGUUCAAAAUAUUGUCUUUAGAAUAUUGUCGGCCUGAAAGUUAAGUUGAGGAUACCCAGACCUCAAAUCAUGUUUGGAAAAUACGGAUGCACCCUACAACUGGUAAAAUAAAUCAUCGAUAUAGGGGUAAAGGAAACUUAUUAUGGAUCAUAACUUUGUUCAAUUGCCUGUAGUCUAUACAUAUACGAAGACUACCAUCUUUCUUCUUCACAAAGAAGACAGGAGCACCCCUUGGAGAGGCACUCAGACGAAUAAAUCCCUUACAUAACAAAUAUUUCAACUGAGCCUUCAUCUCCCUAAACUUAAUCGGAGCCAUCCUACAGGGCAGAAUAGAAAUAGGAUGAGUACCUGAUUUUAGAUCAAUACAGAAAUCAAUGUCACUGUCUAGUGGCAUGCCAAACAAAUCUGUAAGAAAAAUCUCUUGGAACCCAUACACCACAGGAACUAAUUCAAUAGAUAGGACCUCUACAUUAGUGUCCUAAAGAAGUUCUAGAAAGGCCAAACAACACCUUACAAUUAAUCUCUUUGCACCUAUAAAGGAAAUAAGUUUUUGUAGAGCAAGAUUAUAAUCACCCUCCCACUUAAGUCUAUCCAUUCUCGGUGUAUCCACAACUAUGGUUUUAGCAUGGCAGUAUAAUAUAGCAUGAUACAAACACAACUAACUCAUCCUAGUAUUAUGUCAAAAUCUACCAUGUCUAGAAUCAUCAAAUCUACCUAAGUGUGGUAUGAUACACUAUAAGCAUAAUAGAACAGGAAUGAUAAACUCUAUCAACAAUAAUAAAAUCACCAACAGGAGUAGACACAUGAGUAAGGAAGUCAAGUAAAUCACACACCAUGUCCAAUCCCACAACAAAAUAGAAAGUUAUCUAAGAUUAAAUAAUAUAGUGGUCAUUCGUUUAUAGACAAGAAUGGUACUGAUAAUUACAGCGUCUACUGCCUCUGCCUUAAGCCUACCUGGAAAAGCAUAGUUAUAAACCCUACCAUCAAUCUGAAUGUCACCCUUGCCAAGUUAAGAAUCACCUUACUGGGGUUGAUUAUCAUCUCUACCUGCGUGGUGACCACCACACCCACCCCAUGGAUAACCUCUACCAUUACCACCACCUCCUCUGCCUGAUAAAACCAAAGCUCAAGGAUCCUAUUGCUAUCUAGACUGAUCAUACUUCCUCAAAUAAGGAAAAUACCUCCUAAUGUGACCAACUCUACCAUACUUAUAACAUAUAUAAUCCAAGGUGGGUCACUGAGUUGAUGAAGACGAAGUAAGGUAACCAUCAAAGUCUUAAAAUAGUUGGCUAGCCCCUAAUGUACCCCCACCAAAUACCUACAUCACUGACUAAAUAGGGUGGGCAGGGUAUCCUUGUGAACUCAGACCCCUAGGAUAAGAACCACCAAAAUUGCCUCCUUUGUGGACCUUUUUUCUGCCACUUUGGCAUAACCCUCUUGCCUUUCACCCUUUACCUUCUUAACAAAAUUAACCAUCUCCAGAAAAGACUUACCUAAAGAUGUCCUCUAAAGUGUAAAAAUCUAAAGACGUGUAUUCAAAACCUUCACAAAGAGAUAGAUCCUCUCUUCCUCCAUUUUCAAAUGAGAUAAAUAUCGAGCAAUCAAUAAAAUUUGGCCUUAUAGUUUGCGACUGACAUACUCCCCCUCUUAUGAUUAGUGAACUCAUCCCUUUUUAUAUCUCUCAAUAUAUGAGGCACAUACUUUUCUUAAAAAUUGAGUAAAAUUUAGUCCAAGUCAAUAGAGUCAAACUUGUUGCCCUACACUCUACAUAAGCUUUCCACCACAUCUUGGCAACUCCCAAAAAUUGAAAAGUAACCAAUUCCACAUAAUACAUUUCCACCACAUCCAUCUUGUAAAGUCUCUCAUGACAAUCAAUAAUAAAAUCAUAGGCAUCCUUAGACUCGGUGCUAUGAAAAACAGAAAGAUUCAUCUUGAAAAUUUUGGAAAACAAUUCAUGAUUAUCUCUAAUCAUCACUUGACCCCCUACCUGUCUAAAAAAACAUCUAACUCAGACAUCUCUUCCAUUCGAGGAGCUACAUCAGCAAUAUGUUGAACCCCUGAAUGUUUUGCUGUGGGCUUAAAAAGCUCAAUACCUGAUUAAUCACAUUGGAAGACAUUUGAAUUAGAGUUGAACCUCUCUGAACUAAUGCGACACAAUUAUGAAAUGACAUCCCCUUAUUCUGUAAUAGUAUCACUCUAUCCUCUGCUAUCUCAGUCAUAUCCUCUUGAAGAAGAGGAGACACUAAGCUCUCUCUAGCUAGUCUCAUGCCCCAAGCUCUACCCUUGAUAGGUGUAGCUCUCCUUAAUCUUUCUCGUCCUUUCCUUACUUGUCCUCAACCCUGAACCGCAGCCCCAAUAAUUAGUUCAAGCAAUAUAACUCUUGCUUUAUUUUCUUGUGUUCUUACUAUUUAUGAGAAUAAGAAUGAAAGGAGUCAAAUACCAAUUGGGAUCACCAGAUACCAAUUGGAAUCAAGUAAUAACAUAUAAGAAAGAAGAAUUUGAAUUUUCCUAGUGUCUUAUAGCCUCUUAAAGAAAAGUGUAGAUGUCUCUGUACAAGACUCUAUAGAUAUGUUCUUGUUCGAUGAGAUAAAAAACUAGGGCUCUAAUACCAACUUUGUCAUGACCCAAAUGACCAUGGGUGGUACCUAUACUAAUCUUCUUAUGGGAGAACCAUCUAAACUGAUACCUGAUCAUUAGUCAAUACUAAGAUGAGAUUAUCAUAAAAACCAACUUAAUGAUAAUAAAUCAAAUGUAAUUUUUAUUAAUGCAGAAAAUCAAGCAAACUACUUAUUAAAAUUCUCCAAGACCUGAAAGUCAUCGUACAAGAACUUCUAAACAAACAUCAUGUCUAAAGAUAUAUCUAAAAUAAAGAAUAAUAAAGAAUGUCUCAUUGCUCAAAAGAUGGACAAGAACUAAUAUGAUGAUCCAUGGUAUCUUGGAUGGAAUUCUCACCCUUGGAUCAAAAUCAACUUUCAAACACUAAAGAUUAGGUUGUGUCAGUACAAAUGACUAUGUACUGGUAGGAAUCAUAGACAAACUUAAUUUAAUAGAAUGUAUACAAUAUAAAUUGAAUAUAAGUAGGUAGGCAUCAACAUAUAACAAGUGUUUAAUGAAUCAUCAAAUACAUCAAUGACGGGCUAACAAUGCUUUACAAACAAGCCAUAUAACUAUCAAAAGUAUCAACCAUCCCAUAAACAACUACAGAAUCAACAAUAAUACCAUAAGUAACAAUUACUAUGUCCUUCUAAACCUCACAAUUACCACACUAUUAGUUCGUUAUUGAUUUAUUAAACCGCACGACCUAUCAAAAUCAACACUAUUCUAUACACAUAUGCUAAGGAACUUAUUUUUGCCCAACUAGUCAUGAACUAUAGGGGAUAAGCAAAGUCUAUGUACCAUACUAGUGUGGUACUCGAUUGUCCAUAAGUCUCUCUACUUUUCUCUAGAAGAACAAGGAGCAACCCUAUUUUCCCUCUAGGGUCCUUUAGUUGUACCAUUUUUUUAUCAAGACAUGGUAUUUAUAGAUUUAGAUUGAUUCAUCCUUAAAGGGUUAUGGUAUCACGUGUAUCCAAACUUGAAGUUUUUUAAAUAACCCUAAGAAUAUUCUAUUACAAGGCAAUCUUAUUGUAAUACCCCAUAUUUUGGGCUAGAAUGAAAAUCGUCAUUUCUACGCAUUGAUGUUCUAAAAGCCAUAAAUCCUAUGAAAAUUUGGUAUGUUAAUCAAUUAUGUAGUGUGGAAACCUAUUUGAGCAUGAAUUGAGAUCAUAGAGGUCCUCUAACUCAAGGUCAAGUUGAAAGCUUUCCUAUCAUUCGAGUUUUAGUGAGCGCCAAAACUUAGGUCAACUUUAAUUGAUCAUAAAUCCUUUUAUAUGAUGAAAUGGAUGGCCUACUAUGUAUCAAAUGAAAUAUCUUCAAAUUAGAUUUCCAACGAUACCAAUUUCAUCCAAAUCCGAUAGCGGAGCAAAAAGUUAUGCCCAUUUUACUCCAGCAUAUCAAACUGGCAACUGAGUGACGACAAUUCUGACGGCUUAUCACAAAUCUGACGACUUAUCAAAAUAUGUCGUCAGCCUUAGGCAAAAACUCAUAAAUUUCAGCUCCUAGGUGGACGACCUGGGCUUAUGGGCUAUCAUAGAUCUGAUGGCUUAUCAGCCUUGGUUGUCAGCUGAAAAUUUCAGCAACUGGGAAGUGAUUUUGUAGGGGUAUUUUGGUCUUUUCCUCACUCCUAAAAACCUUUCACAUGAAUUAAAUCACCCCUUAAGUGUUAUUAAUCCAUAUAUUAUCAGUUUUACAACAUCUCAAUCCUCUCUACUCUCAAGAACAAAAUGGAAACUAGGGUUUCUCCAAGAUCAAGAAAUUAAGAAAAUCAAUCCUUUAGUUCAAGAUUUCUAAGAAAACAAAUCAGGAUUUACGUUUCCUUCCCUUCAAUGGAUCAAGAAUUCAUCCUCCUAAGUGAAGAUGUUCAAGAAAUGGAUCUAGGUCUGGGUUCCAUCUAUCUAUAUCCGGGUUCCAUCUUUCAAACUAAAUAAUCUUAGGUACGUGGUGUUUAUCCUAAACUACAUGGGAUUGUUGAAAUAUUAAAGUAUGAUUUAAAGAUCUAUCAAGCAUAAAUUUAUAAAGGAGUUUUUGGAUCUAUGAUUUUAUUGUGCAUUAGGAAUGUUUAAAGAUAUUGAUGAUUUGGUCUUUAGGCCUUUCCCCCUUAAAUUGAUUUACAUGUAUAUGUAUAUGCAUGAAAAAAAUUCAGAUUUGAAGAUUGUUUGAGAGCAUAAUUUAUGGAAUCCCUCUCUUGUGAUGACUUUAAAUUUGUGGUCUUGUUGGGAAUGAUUUGAUAUGCAUGAUUUAUGGCUUGAAAAUAGUUUACUUAAAUACCAUAGUAUUUUGAGCAUGAUUUAGAGAUUUUGAGAGGGAGUUUCUUGAUAUAAAUGUGUUUUGUUAAAUAAAAAAAGAUUUGUUUAAGAUUAAUUCUUUUGACAUGACCACCUUGUAUUAUUUGAAAUAUUGUCAAAGAGAGUUGCAUACAUGUGUUUACAUGAGUAAUUAAAGAAAGGGUUCUUCGAACUGAUUUAUUGAUAUGGUGGUCCCAAAUUUAUGUUUUGGAAACAGAGAUUCUAAUAUGCUAAUAAUGGCUCAAAGAUGUGACUUGCAAGUCAAUGGUAUGACGAUACCAUAUGUAAGUAAGCCAUAACAAAGUAUGUUUUCAGAGAAUGUUUUCAGAAUAUGUUUUUAGAGAAUGCAUAUUUUAAAGAGUUAAAAAUGGGCAUAAAGAGGGUUAGGUGGUUACUCAAAGAAGGCUUGAGUUCAAGUAACUCUUAGCCUAAAACUGUAUUUGCCGAUAUGGGUAGAUUAUUAUUGUACGCUGGCGAUGGCCGUAUGGCGUAGUAGAUUCAGAGACUCCAACCCUUGUGGCACACUUAGGUUGGGGUCUAGGAUGCCGAGUUAAUGGUAGAUUCCAUAUAGCCCGUAGAAUUUCAGAGUUGUAGGGUAUACCACCUAGCGCAGAAGUAAAACAAAGAGUGUCACAGAGUUCAAAUGAUUUUUCAGAGUCUCUAAAAAAUGCCUAUGAGAUUUCUUACUAUAUGAUAUGUUUAUGAACUGUUUUAAAUUGCUCUUAUAUAUGUUGAAUUCAAAUUACUAUUUUGGAUUUUCUCUGUGUACCAGUACAUCUGUAUUGACCCCCCUCCCCUACCUCUCAGGUUCUGAGGCUCAGUCUAGGGGUCCCAAUAAGAAAUAGGUAAUUCAGACAAUAGAUUAAAUUGUGCAUUGGUGAGCCUUCUCUAUUCCAGAAGGCCUGUCCUUUCAGAUUAUGUCAUCUAUAACAAUUUUGGUCUACUAGGGGACUUUUCCUAGUUUUUAGAUAUUUGUUAGAAUUUCAUGUAGUAGAGAUUUCGCAGACUUUUCCAGAUAUUGUUAAUGAUUUUUGGAUUUCAUUCCUUAUUGUUAAACUUAAUCCAGAGUAUGACCAUGUUUCUGUAUUACAUCAUAAAUUCCACAUUUUCUUUUACUAUAUGAAUGUUGUGCAUGACUACCAAAUAGAGUAGGAUGUCUGGGCCUUCAUGGUUUGGGAUGUCCGUCAAAGUCAGGCCCUAGUUCGGGUCGUGACUCUUAUACUCUUUUUGAGGUUCUUAGUGAUGUUUUCCUCUUAAGGUGUUCAAGCAUGAAAAGACUUCCAAAGUAUUAUAGGAUUUAAGUUAAAUGGUAAUAUUCACAAAUUAAGUCAAGGCUACUACCCAUUUUUUGCUCCUUCUUAUAUACAAUAUUAGUUGAGGAAUUCCACAUGUGUUUGGAAAGAAAUAUGAAAGGCUAAUGGGAAUCCUUAAAGUUUAAUAAUAUUCUAUUAUGAUAAAGGAAUUUUGGGACUAUUUUAGGGUUUAUUUUAUGUGUUUAUAUUAAAGUAAACUUGGUUGAUCUUAAAAAGGGAUGCAAAUAGUUACCAUUGAUUUAUAAAAAGGCGUAAUGACAUGCCACUUAAAUUAUACAUUGUAUGAGCCCACUGUUCAGCCACACUUUGUGAAAUAUUUUGUACUUAAUAAGAAGCCAUGGAGUUUCUGGGGUUCUCAUAUAAAUAUAUGUGUUGUACAAAUGUAAUUAGAGGAUAAGGGGUUAAACAAACACCCUUGGUUUGCUAAAUUACUGGUUUAGCAUGAGGCUACAAUUUUGUGAUGUUAGGUAGACCAAAUGUGUUGGUUAGUUACUAAUAAUAGGUUCACCAUAUAAAUUAUUAUAGAUAAGUAAUUUGAGAGGCAGAAGGUUAAUUCGGUUUAAUAUUGGAGUUGUACAACAAGGUAUGUAAGGCAUACUUUAUUUCGUAUUCUUUGGCAUGAAAUCCAACACUCAUGUUACAAAGUAAGCUUCUAAAUUUCUCCUACAAAAAAUGAUACAUAGUGCCAGUGCAUGAUCUCCCAUGUGUCUAACGACCUUGUCCCAACUCUCUAAUAUGUUAAAACAUUUAAUACAUUCUUAUUAUCAAGUUUACAAAUCUACUUUCACUAACAAGUUUCAAGAGUUCUCCUUUAAGUCAAAUAAUACCCAUAUGUUAUUUUUAGCUCCUAAACAUUUCAUUCAUGUACAAACUGCUCCUUACCUAAUUAUUAUUGCAUUAAGUGUUUAUUCACAUAUCUUUUACUUGUAGAUUAUUACUCCAAAGUACAAUAAUGUUAUGACCACCAAAGUAACAAUUUCAAAGGUUAAAUAAAAAGUAAUGCAAAUAUAAGUUAAAUGGGUGGUAGCUCAGGUGCAUAAGCGUAGCAUGGGCCAAUCCUGAUACCUUUAUAUAUGGGUGGCAGCUUAGGGGGGUAAGCCUAGCAUGGGUCGAUCCUAAUGUGCGUAUUCACCACUAAUCAACUGGUCAUUUAUAUCAUAUGGCUUAUAAAGAUUAUAAUGUAAGAAGGGUAAAUUAAAUAAAAGAAUGUAAUGUACCUGAUCUUACAAGUAUAGGUAAAGGUGGUAUAGUAGCAUCAUUUGUACACUUGUAUCUAAUUUCAAUUAAGCUCUUGUAUUAUGUAUAAUUACUUUUAGCCUUGCAUAUUUAGCAUAUAUUUUCAUACUGAUAUCCUUUUUGAGGUACUUGUAAUUCAUGUUGUAGGCACAGAUGCUUUAGCUAAUACAACUCUCUAGUAUCUUUAGAGGCUGUGUAUGCCUCUAUUGGUAUUGGCAAUAAUUAAGAGUAAGGUGGAGGUUUGUCCCGACCUUAACUAAGUUUGUGUAUCUUUAGAGGCUGUGUAUGCCAAUAUAAAGUUAAGCAUAGUAGUGUUUUGUCUUUUAGAUAUUGUGGCCCUAACAACCAAGUCUUGUGUAUAUAGUUUUCUGCUUUCCUAUGUGGUUUAUUCUCAUCGAUACAUUAUAUCUGUAUUUGGUAAAAUCUUUGGCUAUCAUAUUUACAUAGACGAGACAUACAAGGUUAUAGGUUGGUGAUCUUGGGCCUUUACGGCUAUGCGUGCCUGUACGCUUCAAUGGGAGUUGUAGCAUGGCAAAAGUGGUAUCAGAUCAGAUCCUCCUUGGAUUCUACAAAGUUGUGUCUAUGUACACUCUUGCUUAUGGGUGUUUUGUGCACCAUAUCCAUAAAUAGGAUGCAACGGUACAUCAGGGGGUUGUCUUUUUUUCUUCAUAUCUUUAGAUAUGCUAUAUAGCCAAAGUUAUAGGUGGAGUCAUUUUUAAUUAUUAAAUCUAUUUUUUUCUUACUAUAGUAAAGAUACAUGUUACGAGAAGAAGUAAGAACAUAUGUAAUAAAGUUGAUGUGCCUGCUGGAGAAGGGACAGGUUACCACCGAGACAAACUAAUCAAAGUGAGGUUAAGCUGAAUUUGUAUCACAAACUUCUUCUACUCCUCCAUCUCCAGAAUAGCUAAUGGGGAAAGCAGCACCCUCAGAAUCACCUAUUAAUGCUACUAAAAGGAAUACAGUGCAAUUGAUGAAUUAUAUAGCUUCCAGAUAAGCUCAAAGAUAGACUAUUCCAACUACAGGUUCUAGUAGUGUGAAUAGGGCAGCUAGUCUACGGACACGAGAUUUCCUUAAAUUAGAUCCUCCCACAUUCUCCAGAUCAAAUCUCAAUGAAGAUCCAUAACACUUUAUUGAUUAAAUCCAAAGAGAUCUGGAUGUUAUGCAUAUAUCUGGUAAAGAGAUAGUUGAGCUAUCAACAUAUAGAUUAAAAGAAGAGGCUAUUUUAUGGUAUGAAGACUGGAAAUGGUCUAUGGGUAUCGACGUACCUUCAAUUACUUGGAAAGAGUUCAAAGAGGUAUUUAUUGAUGAUUACCUUCCAUUUAAGAUUUGAGAGGCCCGUGGAUAUCAGUUCUUAAAUCUUUGCUAAGGAAAUAUAAGCGUAAGGGAAUACAACCGUCUAUUUAACUCUUUGACUAGGUAUGCUCCUAAUGUUGUAGCUUCUAUGGAUGAUAGAGUUUAUCGACAUAUGGAUAGACUGGAUCCAUAUUUGGUUAGAGAUUAUACUAUUACUACUUUGAAUAAAGACAUGGAUAUAGCAAGGAUACAAGCUUUUGCAAAAAAAUAGAAAAUUAGAGGCAAAGAAGAAGAACACAAGAAUAAAAAAGAAGGUAUUCCAAGAAUACCAUAUCUAUGGGGUAGUUUAUGGCAUCCCAAAGAGAGUUUAGGCAUUGGUUUUCUAAUAGACCACCUAGGCCAUCAUUUUUUUAUUCUGUAGCUAGUGCUUCACUAUGGUUUUAAGGGUCCAAUGGCAAUAAGUUUGGGCAAGGAAGUGAGAGCCAAAGUUCACAAAUAAUGGGGUAUCAACAGUAAAGGAGUAUGAUCCAAUCAACAUCUCCUCAAUGUCCAUGUAAAUAAUAUAGAAAUCUUCAUUUGACUUUGGGAAAAAUUCAUUUUUUUGGUGUAGGAUGUCUAGACAUAAUUAGAGAGUGCCUACAAAGGGGCAUGGGUGGUAUGGAAUGACCUACUAGAACAACCGUUGCGUCAUCAUUAUCGGUGCAUAUUUAGGUAGGGGUAUACACCCUAUAGGUUACGGUAAAGGUGUUAAAGGAACAACUAGUUUUAGUGGAGUUCAUAAUCGUACAUAUGCUCUAGCAGAUUCACAAAAUUUAAAGGCUUCUCCUCAUGUGUUUAUAGGUACAUUAUCCAAUUUUUCACAUAAUGUAUAUGCAAUAAUUGAUCCUGGUUCUAUAUUAUCAUAUGUCACUUUGUUGGUUACUGGAAAGUUCAAAAGAAUACCAAAAGUACUCGUUAAGCCUUUUGUAGUGUUUAUGCCAGUUGGUGAAUCUAUUACAGCUAGGAAAGUAUAUCAAAAUUGUAUAAUAACUGUUUAUGGUCGUGAUACAAUGGAUAAACUUGUUGAGUUAUAAAUGGUCAAUUGUAAUGUUAUAAUGGGUAUGGAAAGGUUGGAUUCUUGUUAUGCCGCAGUAGAUUGCCGAACUAAAAGGGUCUAUUUCCAUUUUCCAAGAGAGACAGUCCGUGAAUGGAGAGGUGGUAUUGAUGUGCCAAAAGUUAAAAUUAUUUCUUAUCAUAAGUCAAAAGGGAUAAUUUCCAAAGGUUACAUAUGUCAUCUAGUAGAGUAAAAUACAUAUAUUUGGAACCACUAAUUCUUCAAGUUAUUCCAGUGGUAAAUGAAUUCCCCGAUGUAUUUCUUGAAGAUCUUUUUAAUUUGCCUCCAAAAUGGGAAGUAGAGUUUGGUAUUAAUGUGAUUCCAAGUACUCAACAAAUAUUUAUUCCUCUGUAUAGAAUAUCCCCAUCAGAAAUGAGAGUUAAAAAGUAACUAAAGGACUUGCUAGAAAAAAGAUUCAUAAGUCCUAAUAUGUUCCCUUGGGGCGUACCAGUGUUAUUUGUGCAUAAGAAAGAUAGCUCAUUGAGAAUGUGUAUUGACUACCAGCAACUAGAUAAGGUAACUAUUAUGAACAAAUAUCCCCUUCCUAGAAUUGAUGACUUAUUCGAUCAGUUACAAGAGGCUAAGUAUUUCUCAAAGAUUGACUUGAGGUCGGGUUACCACGAAGUUAGGGUCAAAGAGAAAGAUAUACCCAAGAUAUCUUUUUGAACAUAGUAUGCUCAUUAAGAGUUUUGCGUCAUGUCCUUUGGGUUAGCUAAUGCACCAACAUCUUUUAUGGAUUUGAUGAAUAGAGUGUUCAAGCCAUUCUUAGAUAUGUUGGUGGUAGCUUUUAUAGAUGAUAUUCUGGUUUAUUCAAGAUCAUAAGAGGACCAUGCUAAUCACUUAUGACAGGUGUUACAUAUUUUUUGUGAUCAUAAGUUAUAUGCAAAAUUCUCUAAAUGUAAGUUUUGGUUCAAAUCUAUCACAUUCUUAGGUCACAUUGUAUAUGAUGAAGGAAUAAAGGUUGAUACUAAAAAUAUAGAAACCAUGAAGAGCUGGCCAAGGCCUACAUCGCCUACGAAGGUUCGUAGUUUCCUUGGGUUGGAAGGUUAUUAUAAAAGGUUUGUUGAAGGAUUUUGUUCAAUUUCUAAACCUUUAACAAUUCUAACACACAAAGCAUCCAAGUUUCAUUGGAUAACGCAUGUGGAUACAUUUUCCAAGGUCUGAAGAAUAAGUUAACUUCUACACUCGUAUUGGUACUUCCAGAAGGCACAGAAGAUAGGCAGUGUAUUAUGAUGCUUCAGGAAGUAGCUUAGGGUGUGUACUGAUGUAGCAUGGUAAAUUAAUAGCUUAAACCACAAGAUAAUUAUGGCUACAUGAGAAAAAUUAUCCAACACAUGAUCUUAAGCUAGCAGCAGUUGUAUUUGUUUUAAAGAUAUGGUGCCACUACUUGUAUGGGAUUCAUGUUGAUAUAUAUACUAACCUUAAGAGUUUGCAAUAUAUAUUUAACCAAAAGGACCUAAAUUUAAGGCAGUGAUAAUGGCUUAAUCUAUUAAAAAACUAUGAUGUUGAUAUCUUGUAUCAUUCAAGGAAAGCAAAUGUGGUAGCUGAUGCUUUGAGUUGUAAGACAAUGUCAAGAAUUUAUGUGUAGUCAAUGGAAAGGCAAGGAAUAGCUAAGUAUCUACACCAACUAGCUAAUUUAGGGGUUUGCCUUCUGGAAACUCCAAAUGAGGGGGUUAUUGUGCAAAAUGCAGAAGAAUCUUCAUUAGUAGUUGAGAUGAAAAAGAAGUAGUAUGCAGAUCCUAUUCUAUUAAUAACUUACGGAAAAUGUACAAUAAGGUAUGGCAAAGGCAUUUGAGCUUACGCAAGAGGGAGUACUUCGGUUCCAAAAUAGAGUGUAUGUGUCUAAUAUAAAUGGUCUAAGAAAGAGGAUUAUGAUAGAGGCAUAUCAUUCAAGGUAUUCCUCUAUCCGAGGUCAACUAAGGUAUAUCAUGAUUUGAAAUAAAUGUAUUGGUGUGGUGACAUAAAGAAGAACAUUGCAGAAUUUUUAGCCAAGUGUCAAAAUUUUCAAAAAGUUAAAGUUGAGCAUCUAAAGCCUGGGGUUUUAUACAAUGUUUAAAUCAUAAAAUUUAGAAGUGGGACAUGAUCAACAUGGAUUUCUUCAAUAGUUUGCCUCAUACAUCUCGAAAGUUCAAUUCCAUAUGGGUAAUAAUUAUAGACUUACCAAAUUAGACACUUCCUAUUGAUUAAAACCACUUACACAGUUGAAAAGUAUAUGAGAUUUUAUAUUAAAGAGAUAGUUUGGCUACAUAGAGUCCCAAUAUCUAUUAUAUUUGAUAUGGAAGCUCAAUUUACUACAAAUUCUUAAAAGUCUUUUCAGAUAAGUUUGGGAACAAAAGUGAUUUUAAGUAUAGUUUUCACCCUCAAAUAGAUGGACAAGUUGAACGUACCAUUCAAACACUUGGCAAUAUGAUAAGAGCUUGUGUAUUGGACUUUAAAGUUAGAUGGGAUGAUCAUUUAUCUCUCAUCGAGUUUUCUUACAAUAAUAACUAUCAUUUGAAUAUCAAAAUAGCACAAUAUAAAGAUUUACAUGGAAGAAAGUGCAGAUUACCAAUUGGAUAGUUUGAAGUGGGUGAAACUGCCUUAUUUGGUUCAGAUCUUGUUCGUUAAGCUAUGGAAAAGGUUAAAGUGAUCCAACAGAGGCUAGAAACAGCCUAAAGUUGACACUAAUUAUAUGCUGAUGUUAGAAGAACGGGGCGAGAGUUUGCUAUAGGUGAUUGGAUAUUCUUUAAUGUGUCACCAAUGAAAAGGGUAAUGAGAUUUAGUGAGAAAGGAAAACUAAGUCCACUUCAUAUAUAUCCAUAUAAGAUUAUUCGAAGGUUUGGUCAGGCCACAUAUUAGUUAGAGCUACCCCAAGAGCUCUUAACAGUUCAUCCAGUGUUUCUCGUCUUAAUGCUUCGAAAGUGCAUAGGAGAUCCAUAUUAUAUUACUCCUACUGAAGAUAAACAAGUUAUGAGAGACCUGCCUAUGAAGAAGUACCUAUUGAUAUUCUAGAUCGUCAAGUUAAGAAGUUAAGAAAUAAAUAAAUCACUUCUAUAAAAGUACUUUGGAGGAACCAGCAAGUAGAAGAUAUCAUAUUGGAAGCUGAGGAAGUAAUGAAACCCAAAUACCCACAUUUAUUCAACUCCAAAGAGAGAGUUUCAAGAUGUUGAAUUGGAGAAAUAACAUGUAAGUAUAAAUAUAUAAGUAUUAUGUGGUAACAGGAAGAUUAAACUUAGGCUUGAACUUGUUUAGGGUGGAUAAUUAUGUUAACAUUCGAGGACGAAUGUUCCUAUGAGGGGGUAUAACACCCCAUAUUUUGUAUGUACUUGUUCUACUUAUACAUAAUUUGAUAUAGACUUGUGGUAUAGGUAAAGGACUACCCAUAUUAAUGGUGUAAAUAGAUUUGAAGAUAUUGCUCAUACCUUUUAAUCUGACAUGACCAAGUUAACAUUGAUACAACUAUCUUGACUUGGGAUUGUGAGUAGGUAUUUGAAUCUAAGCUUAAAGUGACCAAGUGUAUACAAGUUUUAAGUUAAAUUAAAGGGGUUAAGAACUAAAAAUGGAAUAAAAUAUUAAGGUUCUUGCUUGACUUAAGUAAUCUAGUAGGUGAGUCACCUACUUGAGUUAUAUGAACCAAGUUAAUGGAUCUAAGGUUAUGGUUCAAAUUUGGGCCUAUAUUAAUGCACUUAUAUAAUCCCAAACUAAAUAAAAGAAAAAAUAAAAUGGAGAAAGUACCCAACACUCAAAUCUGCCAAGGCCCAAUUUAAUUGAGCCCAACAAAGAAUCAAGCAAGUAGGUACAUCACGUACUUUGACCUUUUGAGUAGCUUGAACUCCUUAAGUAGGUGCAUCACCUACUUGGACAAAUUUGAGGUCCAAAAUGUUUCUAAAGAGAUAUCCUAAAUAGGGCCUUUAUAAGGACAAGUUUCUGGUCAUUUUCUUCAUUUUUAUGUCACAACAAAGACCAUAUUUCACAAGUUCUCUUUACUUUUUUCUAGAGCAGGAAGAAGCAACCCUAUUUUCACUCUAGGGCUAUUUAGUUGCACCAUAUUUUUCUCAAGCCAAGGUAAGUAAAAUAAUUUAUAAAUUUAGCUUGAUUCACCCAUAAAGGGUUAUGGUAUCAUGUAUCAAUAAACCUGAAGUUUGUGAGACAAUCCUAAGAAUAUUCUAUUACAAGGAAGUCCUAUACUCUUUUUUGAGGUUCUUAAUGAUGUUUUCCUCUUAAGGUGUUCAAGCAUAAAAAAAUUCCAAGGUAUUUAAGGAUUUAAAUUAAAAGAUAAAAUUAAGGUAAGGCUACUGGCCAUUUUUCCCCUCCUUAUAUACAAUAUUAGUUGAGAAAUUCCACAUGUGCUUGGAAAAAAAAUGGAAGACUGAUGGGAAUCCUUAAAGUUCAAUAAUAUCCUGUUAUGAUAAAGGAAUUUUGGAAGUGUUUUAGGGUAUUUUUUAUGUGUGUAUAUUGAAGGUAGCUUGGUUGAUCUUAAAAAGGAGUGUAAACAAUUAGCAUUGAUUUAUAAAUGGGCAUAAUGAAAUGCCACAUAAAUAGACAUUGUAUAAGCCCACUGCCCAGCCACACUUUAUGAAAUGUUUCGUACAUAAUAAGAAGCUUAGAAGUUUCUGGGGAUAUCAUAUAAAUAUGUGUGAUGUACAAAUGUAAUUAGAUGAGAAGGGGUUAGGAGAACACCUUUGGUUUGCUAAAUUACAAACUUACUGUCCGACUAUGUUUUGUGAAGUUAAGUAGACCAAAUAUGUUGGUUAGUUACUAUAAUAGGUUUACCAUAUACUUUAUUAUAUAUAAGUAAUUUUAGAGGCAAAAGGUUAAUUUGAUUAAUAUUGAAGUUGUACAGCAUGUUAUGUAAGGCGUACUCAAUUUUGUAUUCUUUGGCAUGAAAUCCAACACUUGUGUUACAAAGUAAGCUUCUAAAGUUAUCCUAUAGCAAAUGAUACAUAGUGGCAGUGCAUGAUAUCCUAUGUAUCUAACGACCUAGUUCCAACUCUUUAAUGUGUUAAAACACCUCAAUACAUGCUUAUAAUCAAGUCUGUAUGUCUACUUUUACUAGACUCAGAUGUUAUUUUUAGCUCCAAAAUAUUUUAUUCGUGUACCAACUACUCCCUACCUUAUUGUUAUUACAUUAAGUAUUUAUUUAGAUGUAUCUUACUGGUAAAUUAUUGUUAUAAAGUCCAAUAAUGUUGUGAGCACCAAAGUAAUAAUCUCAAAGGUUAAAUAAACAAAGUAACAUUAAUUUGAAUUAUAUGGGUGGCAGUUCUGGGCAUAAGACUAGCAUGGGUUGAUCCCGAUACCUUUAUAUGUGCGUGGAAGCUCAAGGGUGAAAUCAUAGCAUGAGCCAAUCCCAAUUUGUUUUCUUACCAGUUAUCAGCUGGUUAUUUGUAUCAUAUGGAUGACAAAUAUUAUAAAGUAAGAAGGGUAAAAUAAAGAAAAGAAUGUAAUGUACCUGAUCCUACAAGUAUAUGUAAAGGUAGUCUACUAGCACCAUUUAUACACUUGUAUCUAAUUUCAAUUAAGCUCUUGUAUUAUGUGUAAUUACUUUCAUCCUUGAAUAUUUAGUACACAUUUUUAUAUUAAUGUCCCUCACGUGGAGCUACAUUUCAUGCUACAGGUAUAGGUGCUUCAGCUAAUGUACCUCUCUAGUAUGAGUACAAGAUAUCCAGCGGCUAUUGUUAAGCUCCAAGUUGAUUCGGGGCUUUUUGAGUCUAUUAUAUAUGUUUUGCUAUUGAUAGUAGUUAAGAGUAAGGUGGGAGUUUUUCCUAAUCUUAACAAAGUCUAUGUCGAUUUAGAGGCUUUGUAGAUCAAUAUAAAGUUAAGCAUAUUAGUGUCUUGUCUUUUAGAUGUGGUGGCCCUAACGGCCAAGUCUUGUAUUUAUAAAUCCUACGUGGUUUAUUCUCAUUGAUGCAUUAUAUAAAUAUUUGGAAGAACCUUUGGUUAUCAUAUUUACAUGCAUGAGAUGUACUAGGUUAUAGGUUGGUCCUCUCGAUCCUUUACGGCUAUGGGCGCUUGUCUGCCCCAAUAAGAGUUAAGGCGUGACACUAAACACCACAACUAGGGUUCUUGGAACCAUGAUGGAUUAAUA